This 253-nucleotide ribosomal RNA is filed under the name uncultured bacterium. Its description in RNAcentral is "partial 16S ribosomal RNA". It matches the Rfam family "Bacterial small subunit ribosomal RNA", at positions 524 to 776 of the family's 1533-position model. The record is from RNAcentral.
UACGGAGGGGGCAAGCGUUGAUCGGAAUUACUGGGCGUAAAGCGCGCGCAGGCGGUUUGUUAAGUCAGAUGUGAAAUCCCCGGGCUCAACCUGGGAACUGCAUUUGAUACUGGGAAGCUUGAGUGUGGUAGAGGGGUGUAGAAUUCCAGGUGUAGCGGUGAAAUGCGUAGAUAUCCGGAGGAACACCAGUGGCGAAGGCGGCCCCCUGGACGAGUACUGACGCUGAGGCUCGAAAGCGUGGGGAGCAAACAGG